AGGACGAACGCUGGCGGCGCGCUUAACACAUGCAAGUCGUACGGGACUACCCCUUCGGGGGUGGUUUAGCGGCGAACGGGUGCGUAACACGUGAGCAAUCUGCCUUGGGGUGGGGGAUAACCCGUGGAAACGCGGGCUAAUACCGCAUGGCCUUGCGAUCCCGCAUGGGGAUGCAAGGAAAGGGGCUUAACGGCCCUGCCCUGAGAGGAGCUCGCGGCGUAUCAGCUAGCUGGUGGGGUAACGCCUACCAGGGCAACGACGCGUAGCCGAUCUGAGAGGAUGAUCGGCCACAUUGGGACUGAGAUACGGCCCAGACUCCUACGGGAGGCAGCAGUGGGGAAUCUUGCGCAAUGGGCGAAAGCCUGACGCAGCGACGCCGCGUGGGAGAAGCUCUUCGGAGUGUAAACCCCUGUCAGGAGGAAGAAGUGGGCGUUCCAGGAAAGUGGAGUCGUUUUUGACGGUACCUCCGAAAGGAAGCACCGGCUAACGUCUAGUGCAGCAGCCGCGGUAAUCCGUGA
RNAcentral lists this ribosomal RNA (518 nucleotides) under uncultured soil bacterium. RNAcentral describes it as "bacterial SSU rRNA". It matches the Rfam family "Bacterial small subunit ribosomal RNA", at positions 26 to 530 of the family's 1533-position model. The record is from RNAcentral.